RNAcentral lists this long non-coding RNA (1685 nucleotides) under Triticum aestivum (bread wheat). RNAcentral's name for it is "long non-coding RNA (TAES_LNC023761)". Lineage: Eukaryota; Viridiplantae; Streptophyta; Magnoliopsida; Poales; Poaceae. The record is from RNAcentral.
AGAAAUUUGUCUUUUUCACCAGUGGUGGAUCAAAAGCUUUGGACACCCAACCAUAUUGUCAAUUGUGCAUUAAGUAUGGCCUAGUAUUUUAGAAAAUUGAUUUCUUACAAAUUUGCAACAAAUAUAUGGUAGGUCCUUCACAAAAAAACUCAUUUUGGGCACUCGGAAAAUGGAAAAUGAUUUUUUCGUCCAAAGAAAAUGAAAACUUCCUUAGGCAACAUUAUUUGCCAUUCCAAUAUGCAACCUUGUGCGCAAUAUGAGAUCAUUUGAACAGAGUAUGCCAUGAAUGUGGCCAUAAGAUUGAUCAUUUGGCUUGAAAGCCAUUGAUCUCCACACAUGAUAACUCAUUUUCGAGAACACUUUUUAAAAUAAUUAUCAUAUUACAAGUUUAUUAUUUUUCCUGGUAACUUGGCCACAUAUAAUGACACAAUGCGAAUGUUUUCCAAUUUUUUGAUUUUUUUUUAAAUUUUUUUCGCCCGUUUCGACAUGCGGUCAAAAUGGCGGGCUUGACCGUUCCUAGCUAGUGGUUGAAUCUUGGAAAAAAUUUUGUGUUUCUCUCAUUAAAUAGAUACUUUUGUACCUAGAAAUGAUUUUUGGAAAAAAUAAAGAGCAAACUAUGAGGCAGUUGUAGUUCAAUUUUGACCCGCUUCCAACUGAAUCGGCAGCAAUUUGUCUUUUUCACGAGAGGUGGAUAAAAGUUUUUGACACCCAACCAUUUGGUCAAUUGUGCAUUAAAUAUGGCCUAGUAUUUUAUAAAAUUGAUUUGGUCCAAAUUUGCAACAAAUAUAUGGUAGGUCCUUCACAAAAAAAAACUCAUUUUAGGCACUCGAAAAAUGGAAAAUGAUUUUUUGUCCAAAGAAAAUGAAAACUUCCUUAGGCAACAUUGUUUGACAUUCCAAUAUGCACCCUUGUGCACAAUAUGAGAUCAUUUGAACAAACUAUGCCAUGAAUGUUGCCAUAAGAUUGAUCAUUUGGCUAGAAAGCCAUUGAUCUCCACACAUGAUAGCUCGUUUCUGAGAACACUUUUUUAAAAUAAUUAUCGUAUUACAAGUUUAUUAUUUUUCCUGGUAACUUGGCCACAUAUAAUGACAUAAUACGAAGGUUUUCCAAUUUUUGAUUUUUUUGAAUUUUGUAUGCCUAUUUCAAAAUGCGGUCAAAACGGCGGCUUGACCGUUCCUAGCUAGUGGUUGAAUCUUGGAAAACUUUUGGUGUUUCUAUGAUUAAAUAUAUACUUAUGUACCUAGAAAUGAUUUUUGAAAACAAUAAAGAGCAAACUAUGAGGCAGCUGUAGUUCAAUUUUGACCCGCUUCUAGCUGAAUCGGCAGAAAUUCGUCUUUUUCCCCAGAGGUGGGUCAAAGCUUUUGACACCCAACUAUUUGGUCAAUUGUGCAUUAAAUAUAUUCUAAUAUUUUAUAAAAUUGAUUUGAUCCAAUUUUGCAAUAAAUAUAUGGUAGAUCCUUCACAAAAAAAACUCAUUUUGGGCAUUCAAAAAAUGGAAAAUGAAUUUUUCGUCCAAAGAAAAUGAAAACUCCCUUAGGCAACAUUGUUUGCCAUUUCAAGAUGCACCCUUGUGCACAAUAUGAGAUCGUUUGAACAAACUAUGCCAUGAAUGUGGCCAUAAGAUUGAUCAUUUGGCCAUAAGAUUGAUCAUCUAGAGGAUGAAGACGACUCGGGGAGAAGAUAAG